Molecule: long non-coding RNA, 526 nt
Filed under: Malus domestica (apple)
Lineage: Eukaryota; Viridiplantae; Streptophyta; Magnoliopsida; Rosales; Rosaceae
Description: long non-coding RNA (MDOM_LNC002146)
Source: RNAcentral
AAAAAAAAAAAAAAAAAAAAAAAAAAAAAAAAAAAAAGGAAAAGCCCAAAACAAAUGGGCUGACAUGUUGUGGAGGGCAAAGGCCCAUAGGCCUGAAAUAGCACCAACCAGGUCAUCAAAAGUACGCCCAGUACUCCGCAAUUAUUCGGCAACCCGCCGUUAUUACCACCAACCAGGUGAUCAAAAGUACGCCCAGUACUCCGCAAUUAUUCGGCAACCCGCCGUUAUUACCACCAACCAGGUGAUCAAAAGUACACCCAGUACUCCACAAUUAUUCGGCAACUCGCCGCUAUUACCACCAACCAGGUGAUCAAAAGUACGCCCAGUACUUCAAGUCAUACAUGAGCAUUACUCAUGUCAAUCAUACAUAAACAUUCAUGAGCAUCACUCAUCCAAUCAUACAUAAACAUUCAUGAGCAUCACUCAUGUUAACAUUCAUGAGCAUCACUCAUGUUAACAUCCAUGAGCAUCACUCAUGUCAAUCAAACAUAAACAUUCAUGAGCAUCACUCAUGUCAAUCAGCUUC